AACGAACGCUGGCGGCAGGCCUAACACAUGCAAGUUGAACGAGGAUUUAUCCUAGUAGCGGACGGGUGAGUAAUACGUGAGAAUCUGCCUUUAGGAGGGGAAUAACAGUUGGAAACGACUGCUAAUGCCCCAUAUGCUUACGAGUGAAAUGAUUUUCGCCUGAAGAUGAGCUCACGCCUGAUUAGUUGUUGGUAGGGUAAUGGCCUACCAAGACUACGAUCAGUAGCUGGUUUGAGAGGAUGAUCAGCCACACUGGAACUGAGACACGGUCCAGACUUCUACGGAAGGCAGC
RNAcentral lists this ribosomal RNA (292 nucleotides) under uncultured cyanobacterium. Its description in RNAcentral is "partial 16S ribosomal RNA". It matches the Rfam family "Bacterial small subunit ribosomal RNA", at positions 29 to 352 of the family's 1533-position model. The record is from RNAcentral. Lineage: Bacteria; Bacillati; Cyanobacteriota.